Molecule: ribosomal RNA, 232 nt
Filed under: uncultured bacterium
Lineage: Bacteria
Description: partial 16S ribosomal RNA
Rfam family: Bacterial small subunit ribosomal RNA
Source: RNAcentral
UGAGUAACCUGCCCUUAACUCUGGGAUAAGCCUGGGAAACUGGGUCUAAUACCGGAUAUGACUCCUCAUCGCAUGGUGGGGGGUGGAAAGCUUUUUGUGGUUUUGGAUGGACUCGCGGCCUAUCAGCUUGUUGGUGAGGUAAUGGCUCACCAAGGCGACGACGGGUAGCCGGCAUGAGAGGGUGACCGGCCACACUGGGACUGAGACACGGCCCAGACUCCUACGGGAGCAG